GCCUCAAUGGUCUAACGGCUAUGACGCAUCCCUGUCGCGGAUGCAACCCGGGUUCGACUCCCGGUUGGGGCG
Molecule: transfer RNA, 72 nt
Filed under: Candidatus Pacearchaeota archaeon
Lineage: Archaea; Nanobdellati
Also listed under: 1 other name
Description: tRNA-Asp
Rfam family: tRNA
About the family: Transfer RNA (tRNA) molecules are approximately 80 nucleotides in length. Their secondary structure includes four short double-helical elements and three loops (D, anti-codon, and T loops).
Source: RNAcentral